Molecule: ribosomal RNA, 450 nt
Filed under: uncultured bacterium
Lineage: Bacteria
Description: partial 16S ribosomal RNA
Rfam family: Bacterial small subunit ribosomal RNA
Source: RNAcentral
CCUACGGGUGGCUGCAGUGAGGAAUAUUGGUCAAUGGGCGCGAGCCUGAACCAGCCAAGUCGCGUGAAGGAUGACGGUCCUAUGGAUUGUAAACUUCUUUUGUGCAGGAAUAAAGUGAGGAACGUGUUCCUUUUUGUAUGUACUGUACGAAUAAGCAUCGGCUAACUCCGUGCCAGCAGCCGCGGUAAUACGGAGGAUGCGAGAGUUAUCCGGAUUAAUUGGGUUGUAAGGGUGCUGAGGCGGCAGGAUAGAAAGUUUGCAGCUUAACUGUAAAAUUGCCAUUGAAACUGUUAGUCUUGAGUGCAAAUGAGGUAGGCGGAAUGUGUUGUGUAGCGGUGAAAUGCUUAGAUAUAACACAGAACUCCGAUUGCGAAGGCAGCUUACUGGGAUGCAACUGACGCUGAUGCACGAAAGCGUGGGUAUCAAACAGGAUUAGAUACCCUUGUAGUC